Populus trichocarpa (black cottonwood) is the source of this 156-nucleotide non-coding RNA. The record is from Rfam. Lineage: Eukaryota; Viridiplantae; Streptophyta; Magnoliopsida; Malpighiales; Salicaceae.
UCUAGAACUCAAGAUAUAGGCUGAACACUAAACAGUGUCUGGGCUGCAGGACAUAUUCCGACUUCUCCGUUGUUGCUAAGAUUUGGACUUCCAAACAGCAGAAUUGAGUCUUUCACUUAUCAUGAAUGUUUUAGGCCUAUGUCUUAGCUUUCUAGC